CCCUUAGAUGUUCUGGGCUGCACGCGCGCUACACUGAAGCUAUCAACACGUUUUCCCUCCCUGAGAAGGGCGGGUAACCUUUUGAAUCAGCUUCGUGGUAGGGAUCGGGGCUUGCAAUUGUUCCCCGUGAACCAGGAAUUCCAAGUAGACGCGAGUCAUAAGCUCGCAUCGAUUAAGUCCCUGCCCUUUGUACACACCGCCCGUCGCUACUACCGAUUGAACGUUUUAGUGAGGCAUUUGGACCGACGCAUCUCAGUUUAACCGCUGGUUUGUGUUGGAAAGACUUCCAAACUUGAGCGUUUAGAGGAAGUAAAAGUCGUAACA
This 324-nucleotide ribosomal RNA is filed under the name uncultured eukaryote. Its description in RNAcentral is "partial 18S ribosomal RNA". It matches the Rfam family "Eukaryotic small subunit ribosomal RNA", at positions 1470 to 1796 of the family's 1831-position model. The record is from RNAcentral.